Molecule: long non-coding RNA, 706 nt
Organism: Triplophysa dalaica
Lineage: Eukaryota; Metazoa; Chordata; Actinopteri; Cypriniformes; Nemacheilidae
Exons: 3
Source: RefSeq, a predicted model, not a curated record
AACACAUACACAAGGUCUUAACACUUGACUCUUUAACCACUGAAUAACAUUAGCGGAACUGAAGCACACUGCAUGUUUGCAAACAUAUAUUUUUAAUGACAGUGUAAAUCAUUUGUAACCCUGCCUACGAAAACAAGGCAAAAGUCUCGAGCAUCAAAGUUUGAUAUCAAUCAUUAGUUUCACUAUGAUUGAAAUUUUUGAGAUGCUCCUAGUCAAUAUUAAAUAUAAAAACGAUUAUAUCACAGAAUGUUCUUAACAUUAGGGUGAUUUUAUGUAGAAAACAAUAUAUCACAAAAUAGACUUUAGCUAGACUUUCACAGGCAGGGUCACGUGUGUUGUUCUUUCUGCAUGUGCUUUAUCCUUUAGGUUGGAUUUGUGACUGUGCACCCCUUCUAGUCAAAUAUUACUCUCAACCCGUUGUGCUAAUAAAAAAAACAAAAACAAAACAGUAGGAUAAUGGACAGUGAUGGCAUUACAUCUGAUCACCACCAGAGGGCUCUAUCUGUAUGUUGGAUUUGUAUUGAACACAAAAGACGAUCUUUUGAAGAAUACCGGUUUGAAACCAGGAUCAAUUUAGAGUCUCUGGAUGGUGAUUCAUAUAUUCACACUCCGCUGUGAGGUGUGAUGUUCACGGUCUUGUAUUUCACAGUCAACAACCAACAUGUCAUUCCUUGUGCUGCAUGCUGCAGUGCAUGACUAACAGCUG